GGUUUGGCGGAGGAAAGGGGCUUUCGGAUUCCGAUGUCUGUGUUAACCAUGCUCUCUCCUCAUCACCAGACUCAAGACUGGCAACGAGUUUGGGCGUUUGAGGAAGGGGGGAGGGGAAGGGUGACACCAAAUAGCCCGUGCAUAGAGAGAAUUCUGGAUUUAUGCAUUGAUGAAAGGUAUAUUAACCAAUCUCUAAAAAUAGACCCCUCCCAAUCAGUGCAGAUUUGGGGUUGCUCUGUGGUUUGGAGGCCCCUUUGCGAAACUGGAGGUCUGUGACCCCUGAGAUCCUCCCUUCAUCCCUCGACCAUCCCCCAGCCCCAAAACAGGACAGGGGGAAGGUGGUUUCCGAAAACUCAGCAACUCUGGUUUUUGAAACUUUCUCUGCUUUUGCAUUGCAUUUGUUGGUCUGCUGGGUGCCCCGACCCCCUUAUCAUGUCCUUCUUUUGGGAUGGGUUGUUGAUUUCAUUGGAUUUGCCCUCCCUUGGCUCAUGUGCCCUUAUUUAUGGCAGCGUACGUGGUCUGGGUGUAGACUUUCAGGAAGCGCAGCCAUGAGGCGCAUAUGUCCGUGUGUGGAUACAGCAUGAAUUUUCCUGAUAGUUUGCGGGCUUGGAAUAUUCUUCUGUUCACUCCAGCCCUUGCCUUCAGGCUCUUCUAGAAGGUGAGAGAAGACGAAAUCCCUUGUGAGGGUUUAGGGACAAGAGUGUGAAGUUUUGCUGUUUACUUUCUGGUCUGAGUUGAGGCUCCUGGAACUUUUUAGUUGCUGGGGAAAACCGAGGAGAAACGUGUGUUUGUGUGUUGCUGGUGGGCGGGGGCCUUUGGGAGGGAGGCCUGCUGAGGACUCUGUCUGCUGGGCCAUUUGCUAUAGGAUGUUGCAGACCUAUUUUGCAUACUGGGGGUGACAAGUUGAGACUUGUUCACUUGACACACUCCUGUGGUCAUAGUGAAUCUCUCUAAAGUUUUAACGAGUGGAGAAGGGGCUUGUGUGGAUCCUUGGAACCUGCUUGAAACUUCCCAGAAGACUUAUGAAGAGAAAAACCUUCAUGGAAGUGGCAGAAGGACAAACAACUCUGUGGCUGGGACCAGCAUCAUGGCCUGGUCUCCACUGUUUGAGAAGGGAGCUGCAUCAUGGAGGCCCGGAGCUGAUCUUUGGACCAGAAGGGAAUUAAAAAGAUGCCCCUGACAAGGGCUGCACCUGCCAGUUGCACGGAGCAUUGUUUGCGGAUUUUCCAAGCCUGAUGGAUUUACAGUGAUAUUCACCUGCCUGGGGAAUAAUGCUGGUGGAAGCAUUCUGUGGAACUCUGCACACGCACACAUUUCUGGAUGCUAAAAAUGGUUUGAAGGCAGGCUCUUGGAUCCUGUUGUACCUGGGAUUUAGAUGCUUUAAAUUAGACAAGAUAUGUAUCCAUUCAGUACUCUAGAGGGACUUGAGAACUGUCCUUCGCUGAACAAAGCUGGAAUAUCUUGGGGUUUGGAGAACUAAGGGAGCGAGUGGUGGUCUCUUGUACUACAACACGAGAGAGGUGACUGUAGAACAUCUGGCCUGCGCCGGCCAUGUGCAGGUUGAGCCUGCUGGCUGUGGAAGACCCGUGUCCACUGGAGAAGCUGAUCUCACCGUGUGUCUCCUCUGUGAUUCAUGGACUGUUUAAAUAAAUUUCCGAAGGAUAAAAAAAAAUUAUAAGAAGUUGGAAACAUAGAGUCAAAAGUUAUCUAUCCGUCGUCUCAUGGGCCUUGGUAACGUAAUUGCAAUUAUCAUUUCAAUGUGCUAUAACCCAUUUGUGUUGUUUUGUACGUUUUUAAAGUACGUUAUCUUAAGAUUCUCUCCAAAUUUUUUUCUAUUUGCAUUUUUUCCACAGGCAUUUCUAUAUUAUUCUAUAACCAUUUCAACCAUUUUGUAUUUGCUUUUAUCCCUGUGGCUGUUGGUGAUGAACUAUAGGUUUCCUAGUGUUUUCCCUUUUUUACAAAUAAAGUUUUUCCUUCCAGUAUUUCCUGUAUCCCAAGAGCAUCUCAGAAGUGGAAUCAUUGAAUCAAAGGGCAUAAACAUUACGUUUUGUGUUUUUUAUAUUUAGUUAUAAUACCUCUAUCAUGGUUAAUCCUCAAAAUAAACCCCUGGGUUGGGAGUUAUUAACCUCAUCUUGUGGUUAAUGUCAUUACAUGUUAUUGCUAAAAGGAAUCUUGCUGGUCCUUAAGGCACUGAGCCUCCUGGAUGUAAGCUCUGUCUCACCCGGCGCUGAACCUCCCGGGCUCCCGUGGCUCAGUGCACAUGUUGUUGUUAGUUGCCCUCGAAUUGGCUCCGACUCCUGGAGAUCUUCUGUAUAACAGAACAAAAUGUGGCCCAGUUCUGUGCUAUCUUCACAAUCAAUAGCCUUUUUUUAUUUUAUUUUAUUUUAUUG
This is a long non-coding RNA of Trichechus manatus latirostris (Florida manatee), 2390 nucleotides long. RefSeq lists it as uncharacterized. The record is from RefSeq and is a predicted model, not a curated record. The transcript has 5 exons. Lineage: Eukaryota; Metazoa; Chordata; Mammalia; Sirenia; Trichechidae.